UACAGAGACCUCAAGCGUCGUCCGGAUUUAUUGGGCGUAAAGCGUCCGCAGAUGGUCUGUUAAGUUCUUCGUUAAAUCUUUGGGCUCAACCCAAAGGCCGCGGGGAAAACUGACAGGCUAGAGGAUGGGAGAGGCAAGCGGAAUUGCCGGUGUAGUAGUAAAAUGCGUUAAUAUCGGCAAGAACACCGAAGGCGAAAGCAGCUUGCUGGAACAUUCCUGACAUUAAGGGACGAAAGCACGGGGAGCGAAGCGG
RNAcentral lists this ribosomal RNA (253 nucleotides) under uncultured bacterium. RNAcentral's name for it is "partial 16S ribosomal RNA". It matches the Rfam family "Bacterial small subunit ribosomal RNA", at positions 524 to 776 of the family's 1533-position model. The record is from RNAcentral.